GUGUUUGCUUUGGUAGCACAUAAACUAAAAUUGGAACAAUACAGAGAUUAGCAUGGCCCCUGUGUAAAAUGAUACUCAGAUUUAUGAAUCAUUUUGUACUUUU
Molecule: small nuclear RNA, 103 nt
Organism: Molossus molossus (Pallas's mastiff bat)
Lineage: Eukaryota; Metazoa; Chordata; Mammalia; Chiroptera; Molossidae
Source: RefSeq, a predicted model, not a curated record